RNAcentral lists this transfer RNA (78 nucleotides) under Candidatus Bathyarchaeota archaeon. Its description in RNAcentral is "tRNA-Pro". It matches the Rfam family "tRNA". Rfam says of the family: Transfer RNA (tRNA) molecules are approximately 80 nucleotides in length. Their secondary structure includes four short double-helical elements and three loops (D, anti-codon, and T loops). Lineage: Archaea; Thermoproteati; Candidatus Bathyarchaeota. RNAcentral also lists the same sequence under 1 other name. The record is from RNAcentral.
GGGGCUGUCGGCUAGUUUGGUCUAGGCUUCGUGGCUUGGGCCCACGUGACUUGGGUUCAAAUCCCAGCAGCCCCACCA